RNAcentral lists this transfer RNA (67 nucleotides) under Marmota monax (woodchuck). Its description in RNAcentral is "tRNA.Ala". The record is from RNAcentral. Lineage: Eukaryota; Metazoa; Chordata; Mammalia; Rodentia; Sciuridae.
UUGUGGCUCAGUGUUAGAGUGCUUGCCUAGCAUGUGUGAGGUAGUGGGUUCGAUUCUCACAUAUAAA